AUACUUUUCUUGGCUUUUAGGCUAAGAUUAAGUGUAGUAUCUGUUUUUAUUAGUUUAAUAUAUAAUACGUAAAUAAAUGGUUUACAUGAUAUUAAAUUAAUUUUUUUAAAGAGAGAGUCUGUUACAGUAACUUGUUGCUGUAGCUCUCGCGCGUAGCCUUUGUGUUGCACUACUGCAUUGGCCUGGCCCACCCUCC
Small nuclear RNA from Malus domestica (apple), 196 nucleotides. RefSeq annotates it as U2 spliceosomal RNA. The record is from RefSeq and is a predicted model, not a curated record. NCBI's taxonomy places the organism in Eukaryota, Viridiplantae, Streptophyta, Magnoliopsida, Rosales, Rosaceae.